RNAcentral lists this long non-coding RNA (326 nucleotides) under Rhipicephalus microplus (southern cattle tick). RNAcentral's name for it is "uncharacterized LOC119175733". The record is from RNAcentral. Lineage: Eukaryota; Metazoa; Arthropoda; Arachnida; Ixodida; Ixodidae.
AGCAGAGACUACGCAGACCCUGGACAGACAAGGCUGCUAAGAUGUGCUGUGCCAACAGUUUCCAUCUUUGGUGAUGGGCAGACACACGUUGAAAGUCCAGGCUCUCCUAGGCCCGCGAAUACCACUGCAAUGCCCGCUCACAGCGCCGAUGAAGAAGUUCAACAGACUGAGCCCUCAUGUUCCAAUCCAGCGGGUCGACAACACAAGCCUUCUAGGUGCUCGCCCCGGACAGCCAGAAAAAUGAAGAACCUGGAGAAGAUAAAUUCAAGGCUUCGGAAGGCACUGUCAAGAAUUGGCAAGAGAAAGGUUAAAAAGCUUUCCCAGUC